GACGAACGCUGGCGGCGUGCCUAACACAUGCAAGUCGAGCGGGGAACGGACGGUAGCUUGCUACUGUUUGUUUCUAGCGGCGGACGGGUGAGUAACGCGUGAGCAACCUGCCUUUAUCAGGGGGAUAACGCAUCGAAAGAUGUGCUAAUACCGCGUAAGACCACAGCUUCACAUGGAGCGGGGGUCAAAGGAGCAAUCCGGAUAAAGAUGGGCUCGCGUCCGAUUAGCUAGUUGGUGAGAUAACAGCCCACCAAGGCGACGAUCGGUAGCCGACCUGAGAGGGUGAUCGGCCACAUUGGAACUGAGAGACGGUCCAGACUCCUACGGGAGGCAGCAGUGGGGAAUAUUGGGCAAUGGGCGAAAGCCUGACCCAGCAACGCCGCGUGAGGGAAGAAGGGUUUCGGCUCGUAAACCUCUGUCCUAUGGGACGAAGGAAGUGACGGUACCAUAGGAGGAAGCCCCGGCUAA
This 468-nucleotide ribosomal RNA is filed under the name uncultured bacterium. RNAcentral's name for it is "bacterial SSU rRNA". It matches the Rfam family "Bacterial small subunit ribosomal RNA", at positions 28 to 500 of the family's 1533-position model. The record is from RNAcentral.